RNAcentral lists this ribosomal RNA (567 nucleotides) under Triticum aestivum (bread wheat). RNAcentral's name for it is "partial small subunit ribosomal RNA". Lineage: Eukaryota; Viridiplantae; Streptophyta; Magnoliopsida; Poales; Poaceae. The record is from RNAcentral.
AUGCCGCCACCCCUCUCUAACCCUAGCUUCCCGUCACCGGCGGCGGCGCCCUCCCUCCCUCGCCCUCUCCUCCUUCCCUCCUCACGGCCAUAUCUCCGUUCCCCCAUAGCCACACCUCAUCCUCCUCCCCAUCCCCCGGUCCCGUCCCCAGCCCUGCCCGGAUCCACCGUGCAUGUCCACAGCCACAGCCGCCGCCCCCAGCCCCGCCCACGGCGGCCGCCACCACCCCAAGCCUUGUCUUGCUAUAACUCUUCACGAGCAGUGAAGGGAAGAAGAAGGGGAAAGGGGAUGGCCGCCGACACUGCCUACGCGAAGCGGGUGCUGCUCGCCUGCAACGGCGGCGCCGACGCCGUCUUGCGAGGGGUUGGCGUCGGCCUCGCCAGGCACGGCUGCAGGCUGGUCCUGGUGGGCGACGAGGGCACCCUGGCUGCGACGGUGGAGGAGGUGCGGCGCAGCGCGGCAGAAGGGGCGGCGGCCAUCGCGGUGGUCGGGAUGGACCUCGCGGCCUGCGACGAGGCUGCUACUUGCUCGUUUCCGUCCAGAUCAUACCCGAGUUCCUGCUGCUGA